UCAUUUGUUCUUGGUAAUUUUUGUAUCAUUGUUUGGAAUCUUUGAUGAUCUUAGUUGAUUGGGAAGGCUAUUGACUCUGCUCCUUGUGUCGACGAGGCUACUUCCGCUAAGGUAGAUGCUAUUGCCAAAGGAUGCUGUGGUUAGUGUCGCGGCUUUUGAAGAGUUGCCGGUGGGGGUGCCGCUUGUAGACUCAGGAGCAGCCUCUGAGCCUG
This 212-nucleotide long non-coding RNA is filed under the name Setaria italica (foxtail millet). RNAcentral describes it as "long non-coding RNA (SITA_LNC004589)". Lineage: Eukaryota; Viridiplantae; Streptophyta; Magnoliopsida; Poales; Poaceae. The record is from RNAcentral.